AGCGAUUUGGCGCAGCGGAAGCGCGCCGGGCUCAUAACCCGGAGGUCACUCGAUCGAAACGAGUAAUCGCUA
This is a transfer RNA of Chaetomium globosum CBS 148.51, 72 nucleotides long. It matches the Rfam family "tRNA". Rfam says of the family: Transfer RNA (tRNA) molecules are approximately 80 nucleotides in length. The record is from Rfam. NCBI's taxonomy places the organism in Eukaryota, Fungi, Ascomycota, Sordariomycetes, Sordariales, Chaetomiaceae.